RNAcentral lists this unclassified non-coding RNA (331 nucleotides) under soil metagenome. RNAcentral describes it as "partial contains 5.8S ribosomal RNA, internal transcribed spacer 2, and large subunit ribosomal RNA". The stretch from base 1 to 120 matches the Rfam family "5.8S ribosomal RNA", at positions 35 to 154 of the family's 154-position model. The record is from RNAcentral.
GAUGAAGAACGUAGCGAAAUGCGAUAAGUAAUGUGAAUUGCAGAAUUCAGUGAAUCAUCGAAUCUUUGAACGCACAUUGCGCCCCCUGGUAUUCCGGGGGGCAUGCCUGUUCGAGCGUCAUUUCACCACUCAAGCCUCGCUUGGUAUUGGGCAACGCGGUCCGCCGCGUGCCUCAAAUCGACCGGCUGGGUCUUCUGUCCCCUAAGCGUUGUGGAAACUAUUCGCUAAAGGGUGUUCGGGAGGCUACGCCGUAAAACAACCCCAUUUCUAAGGUUGACCUCGGAUCAGGUAGGGACACCCGCUGAACUUAAGCAUAUCAAUAAGCGGAGGA